RNAcentral lists this ribosomal RNA (844 nucleotides) under uncultured Verrucomicrobiae bacterium. Its description in RNAcentral is "bacterial SSU rRNA". It matches the Rfam family "Bacterial small subunit ribosomal RNA", at positions 60 to 880 of the family's 1533-position model. Lineage: Bacteria; Pseudomonadati; Verrucomicrobiota; Verrucomicrobiia. The record is from RNAcentral.
AGUCGAGCGAGAUUUUUUCCUGUAGCAAUACAGGGAAAAGUCUAGCGGCGAACGGGUGCUUAACACGUGGGCAAUCUGCCGAGAAGUGGGGGAUAGCUCGCCGAAAGGCGAAUUAAUACCGCAUGUGAUGAGAGUGGACAUCCAUUCAAAAUCAAAGUCGGGGCAACCUGACGCUUCUUGAGGAGCCCGCGGCCUAUCAGCUAGUUGGUGAGGUAACGGCCCACCAAGGCUUAGACGGGUAGCUGGUCUGAGAGGACGACCAGCCACACUGGGACUGAGACACGGCCCAGACACCUACGGGUGGCAGCAGUCGAGAAUUUUUCUCAAUGGGGGAAACCCUGAAGGAGCGACGCCGCGUGGAGGAUGAAGGUCUUCGGAUUGUAAACUCCUGUCAUUGGGGAACAAUGCGUAAAUAUUAACUGUAUUUGCGUUGAUAGUACCCGAAGAGGAAGAGACGGCUAACUCUGUGCCAGCAGCCGCGGUAAUACAGAGGUCUCAAGCGUUGUUCGGAUUCAUUGGGCGUAAAGGGUGCGUAGGCGGCGCGGUAAGUCGGGUGUGAAAUCUCGGAGCUUAACUCCGAAACUGCAUUCGAUACUGCCGUGCUUGAGGACUGGAGAGGAGACUGGAAUUUACGGUGUAGCGGUGAAAUGCGUAGAUAUCGUAAGGAAGACCAGUGGCGAAGGCGGGUCUCUGGACAGUUCCUGACGCUGAGGCACGAAGGCCAGGGGAGCAAACGGGAUUAGAUACCCCGGUAGUCCUGGCAGUAAACGGUGCACGUUUGGUGUGGGAAGGAUUCGACCCCUUCUGCGCCGGAGCUAACGCGUUAAACGUGCCGCCUGGGGGA